This 62-nucleotide transfer RNA is filed under the name Cordylochernes scorpioides. RNAcentral's name for it is "tRNA-OTHER". It matches the Rfam family "tRNA". From Rfam's summary of the family: Transfer RNA (tRNA) molecules are approximately 80 nucleotides in length. Their secondary structure includes four short double-helical elements and three loops (D, anti-codon, and T loops). Lineage: Eukaryota; Metazoa; Arthropoda; Arachnida; Pseudoscorpiones; Chernetidae. The record is from RNAcentral.
GCAUCGGUGGUUCAGUGGUAGAAUGCGGGCGGGCGGCCCGGGUUCGAUUCCCGGCCGAUGCA